UUGCCCUUCAUUGUGGAGUGGAUGUUGGUGAAGCUCUUGAUUGAAGACUUGGAUUUUCUGAAUGAGAUUGGAGUUGAUCCAGAAAAGGUUAACUUGUCACAGCUUUGGUGAACUCACGUGAAUUGUAGCAAAAUCACUGAUUGAGCUGUUUGCUGAAAUGAUAUUUGUGCAUGGUUACAUACAUGGUGAUCCAC
Molecule: long non-coding RNA, 194 nt
Organism: Trifolium pratense (red clover)
Lineage: Eukaryota; Viridiplantae; Streptophyta; Magnoliopsida; Fabales; Fabaceae
Exons: 3
Source: RefSeq, a predicted model, not a curated record